AAUACCACCCUUUAAUGUUUGAUGUUCUAACGUUGGCCCGUAAUCCGGGUUGCGGACAGUGUCUGGUGGGUAGUUUGACUGGGGCGGUCUCCUCCUAAAGAGUAACGGAGGAGCACGAAGGUUGGCUAAUCCUGGUCGGACAUCAGGAGGUUAGUGCAAUGGCAUAAGCCAGCUUGACUGCGAGCGUGACGGCGCGAGCAGGUGCGAAAGCAGGUCAUAGUGAUCCGGUGGUUCUGAAUGGAAGGGCCAUCGCUCAACGGAUAAAAGGUACUCCGGGGAUAACAGGCUGAUACCGCCCAAGAGUUCAUAUCGACGGCGGUGUUUGGCACCUCGAUGUCGGCUCAUCACAUCCUGGGGCUGAAGUAGGUCCCAAGGGUAUGGCUGUUCGCCAUUUAAAGUGGUACGCGAGCUGGGUUUAGAACGUCGUGAGACAGUUCGGUCCCUAUCUGCCGUGGGCGCUGGAGAACUGAGGGGGGCUGCUCCUAGUACGAGAGGACCGGAGUGGACGCAUCACUGGUGUUCGGGUUGUCAUGCCAAUGGCACUGCCCGGUAGCUAAAUGCGGAAGAGAUAAGUGCUGAAAGCAUCUAAGCACGAAACUUGCCCCGAGAUGAGUUCUCCCUGAGACUUAGAGUCUCCUGAAGGAACGUUGAAGACGACGACGUUGAUAGGCCGGGUGUGUAAGCGCAGCGAUGCGUUGAGCUAACCGGUACUAAUGAACCGUGAGGCUUAACCUUACAACGCCGAAG
Molecule: ribosomal RNA, 747 nt
Filed under: Escherichia coli
Lineage: Bacteria; Pseudomonadati; Pseudomonadota; Gammaproteobacteria; Enterobacterales; Enterobacteriaceae
Description: partial 23S ribosomal RNA
Rfam family: Bacterial large subunit ribosomal RNA
Source: RNAcentral